RNAcentral lists this unclassified non-coding RNA (297 nucleotides) under Hevea brasiliensis (rubber tree). The record is from RNAcentral. Lineage: Eukaryota; Viridiplantae; Streptophyta; Magnoliopsida; Malpighiales; Euphorbiaceae.
UUCAGAAACACAUUUUCAUGCCAAUCACCCAUUCUUGCACCUAGCAUCAGCAGACUUUCCAGAUUAAUUCAGGAUAACAGAAGAGGCAAAGAAGUAUGGAGUCACCUGUGACUGAAAAAGAAAGCCACAAGCCACUGUAGAAGUGACAAAUUUACUGCCAAUGUGUACCAAUCUGAACAUCGAGAACAUAAUCUAAGACAUGCCCAUGAAUCCAGAAGGGUCACUUGUUAUGCUCAAAAUUCAAAAUCCAGCUUCCUAUGAAGAAAUUGGCUUUUGUCCUACUCAUUACUGUCAGCG